CAAACUAUGUUUGCCUAUCCAUUUCCACACGUCAUAAUUCUAUCACGUUCCGAUCCGCAUUCAUGCUUAUUCCGAAUUAAACAAAAGACUACCAACCCAAAUUAACCUACAUUCAACUUUUACCGAUUUUUCCAUUCCCGCCCCGAACUUUAUUUUUAUCAACCAACAAUUAACAUAUGGUCGAACUCAUCCCUCAAACAUGGCCGAAUCAACAAACGUCAUGAUCAACAUCAACAAAAAAAAUCAACAAACAUAAUAACGUCACACAUAAUCACAACAUCAAUAUACCAAAUUAAAAUAAAAUAAGGAGCAAGAGUUGUAGAGAUCAACCUUCCGAUAAUCGAAUUUCGUUGAUAAUAAAAAUUAAGAAAAUCUGAGCUGGAAACCCCAACUAAAAAACCUCAACCACGACGAAAUCCCCUCUCGAUAUCGAUAAGUUUGACACUCGAAACUAUGAAUCAAGGGAAACUGAUAAAUUUGAGGAUUUCGAGACUGACUUGACCAAAAAUCGUUGAAUCAAAGUGGAUUCCGGUGAAAAGUUUCGCCGGAAAGCUUGAAUAGAUCACCGGGAGAGCUGGAAAACCAAAGGACCUGAGCUCUGGUAAGCUGACGGCGAGAAAAUCAGCCGAAGCAACCGGACUCCGUCCAGAUCUCAUUCAGAUAUCGAAGGAAAAUAAGAGGUUUUGGAGAUUUUAAGACUGGUGCGAUCAACUGACGACUGAAAAUGGAUUUCGUCGCUGGUAAAUCUCGAGAAGAUGAUUAUAUCUUCCUUAAACUCUCUUCAAUCUCUCCAUUUUUUUUAUUGUUUCUCCAUUAUUUUUGUGUGUGCACGAUUUUGCAUGUAUCUGUGUGCGUGUCUUGCGAACCAAAAGAAACAAAGAGAAAAAUGGUCUUUUCCUUUUUGUGAGAUUGUUUUUUCUCAAUG
RNAcentral lists this long non-coding RNA (925 nucleotides) under Capsicum annuum. RNAcentral describes it as "long non-coding RNA (CANN_LNC001535)". The record is from RNAcentral. Lineage: Eukaryota; Viridiplantae; Streptophyta; Magnoliopsida; Solanales; Solanaceae.